This 502-nucleotide RNase P RNA is filed under the name Treponema sp. RNAcentral's name for it is "RNase P RNA component class A". It matches the Rfam family "Bacterial RNase P class A". From Rfam's summary of the family: Ribonuclease P (RNase P) is a ubiquitous endoribonuclease, found in archaea, bacteria and eukarya as well as chloroplasts and mitochondria. Its best characterised activity is the generation of mature 5'-ends of tRNAs by cleaving the 5'-leader elements of precursor-tRNAs. The record is from RNAcentral. Lineage: Bacteria; Pseudomonadati; Spirochaetota; Spirochaetia; Treponematales; Treponemataceae.
ACGAUGAACCAGGCUGCCGCGGGGGCGUUUCCCUUUUAUAGGGGCGCCUCUGAGGAAAGUCCGGGCUCCGCAGGGCAUGAUGCCGGGUAAUACCCGGGCGGGAACUCCCAAAGGAGUUUUCGACAGCGAGCGCAACAGAAAAAAUACCGCCCCAGAGGGGUAAGGGUGAAAUGGCGGGGUAAGAGCCCACCUCGAUGAUGGCAACAUCACCGGAAAGAUUUCAGCGCGCUUGAGAAUUCCGCGGCGCUGAAAAAAUGGCAAGCCUCAUCAGUAGCAAAGCUAAGCAGUGUAUAGGGACGUGAUUUGAGAUCCCGGCCGGCGGCCCGCCGGUUAAACAUGGGUAAGCCGCUGGAUCCGCUCCGUGAGGAGCGGACUAGAUAGAUGGCUGCCGGGAAAGUUUCCUCAUAUAUGGAAAUAUCCCUGGAGUUUUCUGAGAAGAGUAACUCUAAGCUCAAAACCGUAAGGUUUAGGCACAGAACCCGGCUUAUGGUUCAUCGUUUUU